CACACAAAGUGAAUUCCGCCUUUAUACUACUUUUGGUAUUUUGACAGGGGCCGACGCGGGUACGUUUGGGGCUCAUACACUAGUUUAGUAGAUUGGCUUGUAAUAGUUGAACUUUUAGGAUGUUUGUUUUUAUUCUGGUGGUUUGUAUUAGGACCCUUCUUAGGGUCUCCCUUUUGGUUUUGGUUGUAAUUAUACGGAUGUAAUAGUAAGAGCAGGUACUUUUGGAGAAUGUAAUUAUAACUCUUUUGGGAUUGUAUAUAGUAUGUAUAGUACUCUUUUGGAU
Non-coding RNA from Coffea arabica (coffee), 283 nucleotides. The record is from RefSeq and is a predicted model, not a curated record. NCBI's taxonomy places the organism in Eukaryota, Viridiplantae, Streptophyta, Magnoliopsida, Gentianales, Rubiaceae.